RNAcentral lists this ribosomal RNA (648 nucleotides) under Triticum aestivum (bread wheat). Its description in RNAcentral is "partial small subunit ribosomal RNA". The record is from RNAcentral. Lineage: Eukaryota; Viridiplantae; Streptophyta; Magnoliopsida; Poales; Poaceae.
AUGAACGCCUUCAGGUUCCUCGGGGACAUGACCCACCUCUUCUCGGUCAUCGUCCUCCUCCUCAAGAUCUACGCCAACAAGUCAUGCUCAGGGGUGUCGAGGAAGACGCAGGAGCUGUACCUGGCGGUGUUCGUGGCGCGCUACCUCGACCUCUUCACCGACUACAUCUCGCUCUACAACUCCGUCAUGAAGAUCGUCUUCAUCACCACCUCCGCCGCCAUCGUCUGGUACAUGCGCCGCCACCCGCAGGUGCGCCGCACCUACGACCGGGACCAGGACACCUUCCGCCACGUCUUCCUCGUCGCCGCGGCCUUCGCGCUCGCGCUCAUCUUCAACGAGCGCUUCACCCUCCGCGAGAUAUGCUGGGCAUUUUCGAUUUACCUGGAGGCAGUGGCGAUUCUACCUCAGUUAGUUCUACUCCAGAGAAGCAGAAAUGUGGAUAACUUGACUGGACAAUAUGUUCUCUUUCUCGGGGCCUACCGUGCAUUCUACAUUCUAAACUGGAUCUACCGUUAUUUCACAGAGGGUCACCAAAGCAGAUGGAUCCCUUGGAUUGCUGGUUUGGUUCAAACUGGUCUAUACGCAGAUUUCUUCUACUACUAUUUCUUAAGUUGGAAGAACAACGUGAAGCUUGAGCUGCCUGCCUGA